CCCUUAGAUGUCCUGGGCCGCACGCGCGCUACACUGAUGCAUUCAACGAGUCUACCUUGGCCGAGAGGCCUGGGCAACCUUUUAAACGUGCAUCGUGAUAGGGAUAGAUUAUUGCAAUCAUUAAUCUUGAACGAGGAAUUCCUAGUAAACGCAAAUCAUCAAUUUGCAUUGAUUACGUCCCUGCACUUUGUACACACCGCCCGUCGCACCUACCGAUUGAAUGGUCCGGUGAGGACUCGGGAUUUUUACCAGUUUCCUUCAUUGGGAAUUGGUGAGGAGAACUUGUCCAAACCUUAUCAUUUAGAGGAAGGAGAAGUCGUAACA
This 324-nucleotide ribosomal RNA is filed under the name uncultured eukaryote. RNAcentral's name for it is "partial 18S ribosomal RNA". It matches the Rfam family "Eukaryotic small subunit ribosomal RNA", at positions 1470 to 1796 of the family's 1831-position model. The record is from RNAcentral.